This 433-nucleotide ribosomal RNA is filed under the name uncultured bacterium. RNAcentral describes it as "partial 16S ribosomal RNA". It matches the Rfam family "Bacterial small subunit ribosomal RNA", at positions 29 to 507 of the family's 1533-position model. The record is from RNAcentral.
AACGAACGCUGGCGGCAUGCCUAACACAUGCAAGUCGAACGAGACCUUCGGGGCUAGUGGCGCACGGGUGCGUAACGCGUGGGAACCUGCCCUUAGGUUCGGAAUAACUCCCCGAAAGGGGUGCUAAUACCGGAUAAUGUCUUCGGACCAAAGAUUUAUCGCCUUAGGAUGGGCCCGCGUUGGAUUAGCUAGUUGGUAGGGUAAAAGCCUACCAAGGCGACGAUCCAUAGCUGGUCUGAGAGGAUGAUCAGCCACACUGGGACUGAGACACGGCCCAGACUCCUACGGGAGGCAGCAGUGGGGAAUAUUGGACAAUGGGCGAAAGCCUGAUCCAGCAAUGCCGCGUGAGUGAUGAAGGCCUUAGGGUUGUAAAGCUCUUUUACCCGGGAUGAUAAUGACGGUACCGGGAGAAUAAGCUCCGGCUAACUCCGUG